RNAcentral lists this long non-coding RNA (7975 nucleotides) under Lactuca sativa (garden lettuce). RNAcentral describes it as "long non-coding RNA (LSAT_LNC007982)". Lineage: Eukaryota; Viridiplantae; Streptophyta; Magnoliopsida; Asterales; Asteraceae. The record is from RNAcentral.
CCAACCCAUGACAGUCUUAAUUCAUAUCUACUUCCAACAUAUGACCGACUGUGGAUGGUUUGAAUAACUUAGUCAUUCCGGAAGAAUAACCCAGUUUAUUCGGGAAGUCAAAACAUGCAAAAUGAAACACAAUAAUAAUUGAAUCCAAUAUGGUAUCAACCCUUUGAACAUAAAUAAAACACCUUUUAUUUAUCACCAUAUGAUUACACAUUAUUCAUUGUAUACUGUUUCAGCUAUCAACUUUAUUCUUGAAUUUAAAACAAUAGUUGUCCCAUGCUCCAAGCAUGUACACUAUGUUUUCUUAAACACUAGUCAUGCCACACACCAAGUAUGCAUACUAUGUUUGUCUAUGAUCUUUACUUUGUGAACUAGAUCAAUUGAACAUAACUUCAAUGAUUCUCUUUUCACACUCCCAAAUCCUUACUGCAAAUGCAAGAAUUCCAAAUUCAUGCCAUUUACUGAAAUCUGUUAGAUUCUAAACUUAUAUGCAUUGAUCCUCUUGUAAUGAUUAUGCACAAAGUCACAAAGACUUGGCAACAAUCAUUACAGAGUAUUCCAAAGGAGAUCAACUCCUUGGAAAUAUCCUUCUUGCAUUAAGUUUCCUUAAUCUUACACAGAUUGAAAAUUCUAACUUUGAAACAUUUCCAGAUUCCAUUUUGACUAUCACUUCUGAACAAGAGUUGCCUCCUUACAGAUUAUGUCAAUAUGGUCCUUCCAGAAUUAUCACUAUACUUCCAAUUGUCCUUGAGUAACCAAUCUUUGGUAAACCUUAGAUUGUCCUCGACAAUUGUUUAAUCCUUUUAGUCAUAUCCAGUUCUAAACCUUUUCCCUUCUUAAUGCCCCAGGCAUUUGGAAAAUUUUAGAACGGAUGAAUAUAGCACAUGUAAUCGAUCCUAUAUCCGAAGCAUAUGGGACACGAUUCAUGAUGUCUUACAUAAAGACUAAACCAGUCUUUUGCUAUAAUAUUUCCAUUUCAAUUUGCCAAGUUCUCAUAAUUCAGAUUAUGAAAAGGGAUGCCGUAAUCAUAAUCGAAUUUUAGAACGCAAAUAAUGGACCCAUAUACAGAAUUUCCUUAUGUUGAGCCAUUCCAACAUGAAAUUCAUAUAUAUCCUUGACUAAAUGAUUAAAACCUCACGAUCUAAGCUUAUAGAUUUGAGAUGAAGCAUAAUUUCCUCUCCCUUAAUUAUAGCAAAACAACUUUUUCCCAAUUGAAACUUUUGUUUUCUAUAAUUAACAUUGCUAACUUGCAAUACUUAUCAUAAUUAUCAUGCUCCCACUAACAUGAUGAUUAUUAGCAUAACACUUAUGCUCCCACUAGCUUUGACAUGUACUCAGAAAUCAGCUGGACAGUCUGAAAUUUAGAUUCAUACACCCUUUCCGUAGAUAGCUCACCUGUGUGUCUAAGCAAUUUCAAGAACCAUGAAAAGGGAUACCGUAAUCAUGGUCUCAAUUGCUUAGGCAUUUGCCAUUUCUCACAAGUCCAUGUUAGUGUGCCGGUUAACCACACGCGCUCCACUAACGACUUUUGAAAAUGCAAAUAACACAAUUGAUAUCUUCGUAAAAUCUACUUAGUGAAAGCGUUUCCUCACCAUCAUUUUCAUGAAUCGGAGAGAAACCUUAUGACACUUAGAUUUAUAUGGUGUAUGAGUUCCUACCCAUAUGAAUUUGUCAAACCAUAAUCACAAGACAAAGAUAAUGACAAAUCCAAAACCAUAUGGAUUGAACUCAAUCUUAACUUCUUGCCACCUGGCAGCUCAAGGGCCUGCCAUUGCUUCCAAGUUGUUAUGCAACAAACUGAGAACUCUAAGAACUCAUAUGCAAAGCCAACUUUAACUGGAAUGGGCACAGAUAUGUCAACACGAUAGGUUAUAAACCUCAAGUCGUGUGCUAGUGAAGAACUUCAGGUUUUAUUCUUGAUUAUUUCUUGAGACUUUCAAGACCUUUAAGACUCCCACUGUCCUCUUGACAUAUAAGACUCCCUUGUCAAACAUCCAAGAGAUAGUGCGGAUUCUAAUCAAGAAAAACACUUUACCCAAUUGGCCUAAGUUGGUCUUUGUUUUAUCCAAAACAUCACAACUUACCAAUUUCAAAUGUACAAGAGUAGAAAACUUUUACUCUUACAUUUGACAAGUGUUUUAAACCUUCUUUAAGACAUGUCACUCAAAUGACAAUCUUGGAGUAUGACUCUAAGACUUGUAUUGGAACGAAGUAUGACUCAUCUUCUUGAUUUAACCAUUUCAACAAUUCAAGUUCCUCUUCUUAGUCAUAAGAAUGCACUAAGAUUUCCUUAGAGAACUAAUUGUGAUAUGGUUUCUUAAUCAUUAAGAUGAUCACAAAACUGAUACUAAAGUACUCUCCCAUCUUUUCAGAUUUGAGAAACUUUUAUCCUUCUGCCUAAUUUGAUUCUUCUUAUCGAUCUUUAGUGGUGGACUUAAUCAGUGCACAAGAAUGUGUACUCGAUCCCUUAGUCCUUUACUUGACUCACACAUCCAUGUGAACAAGUAAUUAGUCUUAAUUUUCCAAAACUUGAAAGUUCUCAUUCAUCAUGCUAUACAACUUGCAUGAUUCCAAGUUCCGGUCCAAUUGAAACUUGGGUGAUGAGAAUCUUUCCUUAUUUGGUAAAUCUAGACAUUACCACAAAUGAAAGAAUCAAUUUCAUAUUUCCACUCUUGCUCUUAAUGGAAUCAUAUAAGCAACAAUUUUUCCUCAAAAGCCAUUGUAAGGAUAUUUUAAAAUAAAUAAAAUCAAAAAAAUUUUCUUUUAUUUUAAAACUUUGCGGAAAAACUUAUCCUUACAAUCCAUAUGAAAACUUGUUGUUAUCUAUUCCUAAGCAAUAUCUCAUAACUCCUAAGAAGUAGCUCAAGAAUCCGAUCUUCAAACUAUGCGAUAGAAAUCCAUCUACGCCAUCAGAUUCAGCAUAUUCUUUCUUUAAGUUUCUUCACUUUUCUUUGAUUCUUAAAACAUCACCAUGUGACCCAGUCACAUCAUGUAUCAAGAAUCUCAGAAUAGAAACUUAACAGAGUUAGAUAGUGGACUUUACCUGAAGUAGAGUCAAACUUAUUGACUUUAACAUCCUUAGGUAAAUUUGGCAGCUUCGCAACCAAUGCCCCUUCCUUUGGCAAUAUAAACAUAUGGACCCUUUGAUAAUGGUACACGGGACUAUCACAGACUUAGCUUUUCUCUUUACCAUUUGGUCAACCGAGUUGACUAUGGCCGAUCCCUUUCCAUUGGGAAGAGAAUGCUUUACUGGAUAUCCAAUGUCAUCAUUGUCAAUGUCCAUAAAGUUUUAGGAAGUUGAUCUUAGCAAAUAGAUAAGAUCAUUAAGGGUCUUGUCAUAGUCUGUUUCAUAGGUGUCCCAAAGGAACUCACUAUGUGACUUAGAAAGUGAUUGAACCACCAACUUUCUCAAGACUUUGACACCCAACUCUCCCGGCUUGUCAAUAUGUGACUACAUCUCCAAGAUGUGACCACACCUAGACCUUGCCUUGCUAAUAGGGCCUGAGUGACCUUAAACUUUUCAAGAACUUGUGGGUUAGGGAGAAUAAUUUGAAGAGGUGAAGAAGUAUGAUAUCCAUGGGACAUCAUCUUCAUUAGGAAACCUUGUUUCAAGAGAUUUGGGAAGAUCAUAGGUGUCUAAACCAGACAUCUUUUGGGAGAUAUUCAAGAUAGUUGAUUUAAAGUCCUUAAUAUGACACCCAAUAUGAAAUAUUAAGGCUAGGACCCAACAAACUAUUUUAUAACUUAGAAGAGGUAUGCCGUAAUCCAAGCUAUAAAAUAUUUGAAGGUAGGUGAAUGACGAUUCACCAAUUUCCACCAAGAUAAACGAAAUGUAUUAUUAGGUUUUAAUUGGUUUUGAAACUCCUAGAUCUUUGAGAUUCAUUGAACUUUUCAAAGGCAUGUUUCAAUCUCGAGUGUGCCCUUCAGGUUUUGUGACUGGGAUGCCGAGGAUCACAAAACAAGGUGUGAAGUAACCAUGCAAAUCACUUGGUACCCUUAAUAAAUUACCCCUCAAUCGAUGUGCCGGUUAACCACACACGCUCCAUCGAUACUAUGAUAAAUAUUAAGUCACCCUUUACCUACCUUGUUAAGUCCAAGUUAGUGUGCCGGUUAACCACACACGCUCCACUAACGACUUAGACAAAGUGUAAAGUGUAAUUUCAUGGAUUAGCACCUUAUUCACAUUUUUCCUAAGUAACUAAGAUUGGGUAUUAUUAAGAGUUUAGUUACUUAGUAUUAUCAUUAAUACUUUUAAUGAAGGGAGAAUUCUAGUCCUGUCAAACCCGUUCGGCUAACGACCCUCCACCAGUCAAGCAAGCGGUGGGUGAGAGUGGACACCCAUUAAGUUGCCAUUUUAUAGGCAACAACCUUAUACCCACCUUAUAGACCGGCUUCGUGAAUGAGGCGUACUAGCGGUAAGACUGACUUUACUCUUAUACAUAUAUAUAUUAUUAACUUAUAAUAUUAUAAAGUAUAAGGGUUGAAUUUUAACUUUUAAAAUUCUAAGGGCUAACUUGGAAUUAAAGUAUUCAUACUUGAAAACUUUUCAAAUUCCAAAACUUGAGGGCAAGUUUUGAAACUAUUCAAAACUAAUUAAUUCCAUAACUUAUGUGUUUAAAGUAGUUUUAAUCCAAAAACUCUUCAAGUUCCAUAACUUGAGGACAAGUUAUGGAAGACUUUAAACUAAUAAAAGAACUAACUUUUUCUUUAUUUUAUAACUUAUGGAUUUAAUUAUGGUUACAUAUUUUUCUUUAAUGAAGUGACUCUUGAACUUCCAUAACUUGAGGACAAGUUAUGGAGUCAAAAAAAAUUAUUCAAUGACACAAGACUCUUCAUUUUGUAACCAUUGCCAACUUUUAUGAGUUUUAUGAGUCUUUAAUGUGACUCUUCAUGUAACUUGAGGACAAGUUACACAAACACAUUUUAUACUCAACUCUUAGAUUAAAAUGGAUUGAAAACAACUAUUUCACUCAACAUUUCUAUUAAUCUAAGCAACUCAUAAGAACAAGAUAAUUCAAAUCAAACUUUUUCAUGUAAUUAGUCUAAACCUUAAACUAAUACAAAACAUGAAUCUAUUGACAAUUAUCUUUGAAAAUGGAUUAGCAUGAACAUUACCACAUCAAAAACAAGUUUAUAAGUUCAAAAACAACUUAGGGUAAUGUUCCUAGUCCAUUUCUAGCCAAAAAACUCGAAAAUAUGCUGUCUGGGGGUCCAACUCGUCGAGUGCAUGAACAAACUCGGCGAGUUGGAUCGAAUUCAUCACUUUUUAGGCAUGGACUCGUCGAGUCUCCUGAUGGACUCGCCGAGUCUGAUGGCCAGACAGCACCAGAUUCGUUUUUUCAGCUUCUAUUGCAGGUAUAACAAGAAAACAAGCCUAGGCUCUGAUACCACUGUUGGGUUUUGAGCAUUCUAACACUCCUAAGUGUACAUGCAACCCUAAAUACCUUGGAUCUAUGUUUUCUCUAUUAUACAUGCAAAUAAGAACUUCCAAGGUAUUAUCCUAAUCUAGCAUACAAAACAAUGACUAUAGCAAGAUAGAAUACAUACCUCUUUGAUGUAGAAAGUCUUCAUGAAGCUUGAGUGCCUAGUGCCCCAAGUGUGACACCUCAAAUGGAAUCACAAUCAUCAAAACACUUGGAAUGACUUGAGAGAAUUCUACACUCUUCAAAAUCGGCUAGCCCUUUCUUCACUAUCACUAGUGGCCGAUUUUUCCUCAAUAAUAAGAUGCUUAUAUAGUUACACAAUUAGGGUAAACUCUUAAUUGUCAUGGCUUUCCAUUUCCUUGGAUCCAUGGGUACAAAUACACCAUGGAGCAUCCAUGGACCAUCCUAUGGGUUUUAGCCCAACUUGAUUAUCCAUGGAGCAUUAGCCCACUAUACAAGUAUGGAUGAUUUACACAAUCAACCCAUAUAUUUAAUUAGUCUUCUUUUGAUCACUUAAUUAAUCCUAGAUUAAUUCUUGAUCAAUACUAAUUAAAUAAUCUUAUUAUUCUUAUUAUUAAUAUACUAGAACUUAUAAUAUAUUAAUAACCAUAAGUGUCUUAUUUCUCUCAUUAUAGUCUAUCCAAGUGCAUGAUGGUAUGCAACCCAAAUGGACCAUGCCGGGUCGGGUCAAGUCUUACCAAUUAUAGUUAUGGACUUAGACAUUAAUCCAACAGUCUCCCACUUGGAUAAGUCUAAAACUAUUAUUGCGUAUGACUUCAGGAACCAACUGGCAAUCGUAGCUCUCAAAAGCUUCUGUCGAACUCUGACCUUGUAGAUGAACUCUGACCUUUGUCAAUGACUUGUCCAUUAGAUAAGGGAUCAUAUAUUCCUCCAUUCUAGAUAUCAUAUGGACUGAGACAUGGAUUAUAAUCAUUCUCUCUGUCCAUUUGUUGUUUCCCGAUUUCCGAUUUAUGACGACUGACUAAUUGAACAAAUCAAAUCAGUCCUGGCCCGGCCGAGCACUUCCAUUUGUCAUCAUCAAAUCAUCGAGGGGCCCACAGAUAUCGCUUUUAUCCCGAAGGUAAAAGGAAUGGAUAAACUUCGACUCAUAUGGCUUGUUCUACUACUUGUUGAAUCAUACACAAAGGCACGUUUUAUAGCACCGAGUUACCAAAUGCGUUUUCGUGCAAUCAAUGUACUAUCAACUCAUAGUAACAACUCAUAUCUCUAGGUUUGAAGAAUAUAAGAUAUUAUCGUCUCAUGAUCACUCGUGAUAAAAUCCAUGAAGUGAUUCCAAUGAGCGCGGGUUGAAUCCAAUACUCAGAACUUAUGAGCACUCAUGAGUGUUGUAGCCCUUUGUCCAACACCUUAGACCUCUACAAGCCAACUCAUGACAGUCUUAAUUCAUAUCUACUUCCAACAUAUGACCGACUGUGGAUGGUUUGAAUAACUUAGUCAUUCCGGAAGAAUAACCCAGUUUAUUCGGGAAGUCAAAACAUGCAAAAUGAAACACAAUAAUAAUUGAAUCCAAUAUGGUAUCAACCCUUUGAACAUAAAUAAAACACCUUUUAUUUAUCACCAUAUGAUUACACAUUAUUCAUUGUAUACUGUUUCAGCUAUCAACUUUAUUCUUGAAUUUAAAACAAUAGUUGUCCCAUGCUCCAAGCAUGUACACUAUGUUUUCUUAAACACUAGUCAUGCCACACACCAAGUAUGCAUACUAUGUUUGUCUAUGAUCUUUACUUUGUGAACUAGAUCAAUUGAACAUAACUUCAAUGAUUCUCUUUUCACACUCCCAAAUCCUUACCGCAAAUGCAAGAAUUCCAAAUUCAUGCCAUUUACUGAAAUCUGUUAGAUUCUAAACUUAUAUGCAUUGAUCCUCUCGUAAUGAUUAUGCACAAAGUCAUAAAGACUUGGCAACAAUCAUUACAGAGUAUUCCAAAGGAGAUCAACUCCUUGGAAAUAUCCUUCUUGCAUUAAGUUUCCUUAAUCUUACACAGAUUGAAAAUUCUAACUUUGAAACAUUUCCAGAUUCCAUUUUGACUAUCACUUCUGAACAAGAGUUGCCUCCUUACAGAUUAUGUCAAUAUGGUCCUUCCAGAAUUAUCACUAUACUUCCAAUUGUCCUUGAGCAACCAAUCUUUGGUAAACCUUAGAUUGUCCUCGACAAUUGUUUAAUCCUUUUAGUCAUAUCCAGUUCUAAACCUUUUCCCUUCUUAAUGCCCCAGGCAUUUGGAAAAUUUUAGAACGGAUGAAUAUAGCACAUGUAAUCGAUCCUAUAUCCGAAGCAUAUGGGACACGAUUCAUGAUGUCUUACAUAAAGACUAAACCAGUCUUUUGCUAUAAUAUUUCCAUUUCAAUUUGCCAAGUUCUCAUAAUUCAGAUUAUGAAAAGGGAUGCCGUAAUCAUAAUCGAAUUUUAGAACGCAAAUAAUGGACCCAUAUACAGAAUUUCCUUAUGUUGAGCCAUUCCAACAUGAAAUUCAUAUAUUUCCUUGACCAAAUGAUUAAAACCUCAAAUCUAAACCUUAUAGAUUUGAUUAUCCAUGGAGCAUU